Molecule: long non-coding RNA, 939 nt
Organism: Orbicella faveolata
Lineage: Eukaryota; Metazoa; Cnidaria; Anthozoa; Scleractinia; Merulinidae
Source: RefSeq, a predicted model, not a curated record
UAUCAGAUAUGAGAAAUUUGGGUAAAACUUUUAGGUCAAGGUGUUUUGGUAUUUGUCACUUUUGUUACGUAAAUGGCUCAGGUGAGCUCAUUUCUUGUUUGGUAACAAUUUUCUAGCUGGCUUUACAUCAUUCAACAUGAUAACAUUUGAUAUCAAUUUUUUUUAAUUAUCGUCAUUUUUUUUUUUUUCAUUUUUUUUUUUUUAUUUUCCUUUUGUCCGCCGUCCGUCAUCCGCCGUCCGUCAUCCGCCGUCCGUCAUCCGCCGUCCGUCAUCCGCCGUCCGUCAGUUUUAGCGAGUGGAAACGUAACGGCUUGCGUGAGAGCUGCGCAUGCGUACGUCAGUUUAAACACCAUGUGAUCAUGUGAUACAGAAUAUAGACAAACCUCAGAGCCAUGCAUAUGAAGUGGCCAUUCUUGCUGCGGUAUAAAUAUCAUUCAUUUAUAAGAAUUUAACGGUAUAGCACUCUCUCGCAUUUUGCUUGAGUUUUGCGCUAUUAACGAAAUGCAUUUACAAGCAGACAGUGUAGUUAUGUUCUCUUUGCCUCGCAGGAGAUCGGACUGAACAAGCUCCAUUACCUCGCGCCAGUGAUCUGUUUAGUGCAGAUUUGGAAGGCGAGAUCGACAUGCAAAUCAACAGGGAACUUUUUAUCCACUACACUUUCCUUUCCAUGGCGUUUCAUUUUUAUCGUGACGACAUCAACCUUCCCGGCUUUCAUAAAUACUUCAAAUUAGCUGCUCGUGAAAGGAUGAAGCAUGCACACAUGUUCAUGGAAUACUUGCUCAAGCGAGGAGGCCGUCUAAAGUUGAACCCAGUUAUGGUGAGCAAAAUAUAGGCCGUUUAUAACAGCUGUAGGAACUCUUGACCGCGUAGCGGCAAACUCGCGGAUUCUGCCCUAUAGCCUGCUAGGGAGGCACUAGAAUCCUAGCUUGCAAUCAGGCU